GCUGAGUUCCUCACAGUCUGCACCACAUGUCCAUGAACCUCUUUGAAGACUUCCGCUACAGGAGGUGCUUGUGAUGCUGUAGGUAGAUAAAUAGUGUUCAAGCAAGUUCCUGUCUACAGUUUCCUCCUCUCAGGCACACAAACUGCUACUUUAGUAGAAAUAUCAAACCAAAGGAUUCAACACACCAAGGCUGCUCAUAUAAAUCAGUAAUAUCAAAUUCUCAAAGGCCACCUUGCCGGGCCUGCAGGCAACACAUAUCUUCUAUCAUGGUUGAUAACAUCGUCUCAAAGCCUCUCGGGUUAGUUUUGAUCUUCAUAGCUCACAUGGUAUUCAACGGCACCAGCCGAGGGGAGGUCACAGGGAUCCUUGGCAACGACACCACCCUUGAAUUCAAAUUUAACAUCAGUGUCACAGAAUAUUUUGCAGUUUAUACAACAAACCACACAAAGAUUGCUGAGUAUUCAAAGGGCAAAAUUUCCUCAAGCGGAGGCGAUUUUGACGUCAACCCUAAAAAUACGUCUGUGUUUUUCACCAUUACAAACCUCAAACUAAAUCACAGUAGAAUUUACUGGGUCAGUUUGUUCACGGACUCAGGACUCAUAAUAGAAAGUAAAAAGGUGCAGCUGAUUGUCAGAGAGGAGAACAGAAGCAGCACAGUUACUCCAAAGCCGAAUGACACCACAAAAAAUAAAGACAGUGGAAGUCCCAGUCACAUCGGCGUCACUGUCCUUGUGGUUUCACCUGUCGUGCUGUUGGCUGCAGCACUUCCCUUGUUGAUCUGGUGUCUCGUGAAAAGCAACGACAAACAACAACCACCGUCACAACAAAGCUCCAAUCCCACAGUACAAGAAACAGUUGAAGCGUCCUAUAAUGUGCCUGCACCCCCACUGGUCUACAGUGUCCUGGACUUUCCCAAAAGAUCUUCUGCAGUUCUGGAGAUUAAUCCAGGUGAUACAGAGUACGCUGCAGUCAACUAUCUCCCAGAAAAGAGACAAGUGUGACAUGCAAUUGAAUGUAAACCAGCUGUUCUCUCUUGGUUUGGGUAAAGAUAUCCAAGAUGACUUAUUACAUUUGGAUUCCAGUGCUGAACUUGGCUGUAGUGACACCCAUAACAAGUUUAUUAAUAUUCUUAUCUUCAGCAUGGAUGUCUGGAAUCUUUAAAAGCUCCCUUUGGGUUUCAGGUUGAGUCAUUUUUUAUCUUUUCUGUCAAUGACUAUGUUUUUCAUCAUUGCGUUCAUCAGAGCACAAUGUUUCCACUGUUAAAAUAAACAGAACUAAGAACCAUUAGUAAAAUGAAACAGUCACAGGAAACAGUGUAUUUAUAGUUUAGAGAUCUCAGCUUAACAGUACUGUAUGUUCAAAGGUCACACAAAACAAGUGACUUUCCAUUUACUGUAUAGUGUGACAGUUUGACACUUUCGAACCGAUUUUACACAUACAACAACUAUCUCACACUAUCUCACUGCCAUUUUCCACUGCAUGUUCUCUGAAGUUCUCUUUUGGCAGGUGCCUACUGAUGUUUUGAUAGAUUUGUCACACAAAAUUUUGAUUUAUGUUCUCAAUGCCAGAUAUUGAUGUCAUUAAUGUGAUGAUAUCCAUGUAUUCUAUAGAAAAAACUCACCCAACAUAUCUGUUCAUCAGUGGCAGAUAAGCAAGUUGAAUAUUCACCCCGGAUGUUGAUUGUUACUCAGGAUGGGGAAAAAAACUGCCAACCUGGUAAAUUAUGGUGUGUGUGUUUUUAAACUGGUGACCACAAUGGCACACAACCAAACGCAGACUGAAGUUUCCUCUCUGCUCUAAAACCAAAAUGAAUGAAUGAAAUAGCAAAAGUGCAUUUUGAAUGUACCAUGUUACUAAGGCCAACUACACA
Sander lucioperca (pikeperch) is the source of this 1870-nucleotide RNA transcript. RefSeq lists it as uncharacterized. Lineage: Eukaryota; Metazoa; Chordata; Actinopteri; Perciformes; Percidae. The record is from RefSeq and is a predicted model, not a curated record. The transcript is spliced from 6 exons.